UACGGAGGGUGCGAGCGUUAAUCGGAAUUACUGGGCGUAAAGGGUGCGUAGGUGGUUUGAUAAGUUAUCUGUGAAAUUCCUGGGCUUAACCUGGGGUGGUCAGAUGAUACUGUUGGACUAGAGUAUGGGAGAGGGUAGUGGAAUUUCCGGUGUAGCGGUGAAAUGCGUAGAGAUCGGAAGGAACACCAGUGGCGAAGGCGGCUACCUGGCUUAAUACUGACACUGAGGCACGAAAGCGUGGGGAGCAAACAGG
RNAcentral lists this ribosomal RNA (253 nucleotides) under uncultured bacterium. RNAcentral describes it as "partial 16S ribosomal RNA". It matches the Rfam family "Bacterial small subunit ribosomal RNA", at positions 524 to 776 of the family's 1533-position model. The record is from RNAcentral.